CAAUUUACCCUUCCACCAGAUACAUAUCUACCAGAAUUGCCACCGCCAAGUCAAAAGCGUACUGGUUCGUUGUCUUUUUAUUUUUCGGCAACCGGUAGGCAAGGCGGAGCGUGGAAAAAGAACGGGAUAAGGCCGGCGAAUCACACCCCUCUCCUCCAUGGCUAGGCUCAUGCGAGCGAGCGAAGAGACCCGACCAUUUGCUGCUCUGCUCGCCGCAUCCGGCCGCACUAGAUCCCCGAACUCCGCCACCUGCCCACAAGUUUGCGGCCAGCUGCGCCUCCGUUGCCCUUGACCAGACCGGCAGACCCCCUUGCCCUGGUUUUAUGUUGUCGCUAGAUUGGGAUCCCGCGCCGACGCCGUACGGAUCUCCUACGCCGGCGCUACAGGAAACUGGUGCAGCCCCUGCAUCUUCUUCCACGCCGCCAUCCGUGAAUCCCUUUCUUGAGUUUGUACACUGGCGCCUACUCUGUUUUAUAAGUUGUUUGUUGGAGGCGGCAAUGGAGAGUUACGGGCGGGGGCAGCGCUUCUCCAAUCCCGCACGCCAUCGUGCACUCCCGCUGAAGCAGGAGGCCACGCCCCGUCCACUCCGCGCUCUACAGAACCUUUGUGUUUCUGAUGUCAACAUUUGGAGGAGUUUAGUGGAACUGCUUUGGCUCCUCAUGAAUCCCACGCCCACGAAAAGGCGCCGCUCUCUGCGCCGGCGGCCGGAAGAGAGAUCUCCGCUGCGCUAGCACCUGGAGGCACGGUUUUGUCCACCAGACUCCCACCAUGGCGUGCGUGGCUAAUGCGGGGCAGAUCAAUAGCAGGGAGGUGGGAGGAGACCGUGCCAGAGCAUUUCUUUGACAUUAAUGUAGACCGAUUUGCUACAACUACGGUGUGUUAUGCCUGGAUAUGCAUUCAAACGCCUAAUGCUAAUGAGGUGAAGCAGGCGUCAUGCAGACUCAGCUGCAAUGGUUAUUCAUUGUGCAUUAUCUGUUUGAUACAAGAUCCCACUGACUUCAGAGCAACGCCUUGAGAGCAUGUUAGUACAAUGAAGGUUAGGAAGAGAGAGUUGGGUGCACUUGUUCGAUGUGUUUAAUCGGCAUUUGCCAAAAACUUUUCUUCAGUCUGAGUUUUAGUUCAAAAUUUCAGAGUGGGACAGAAAUCAUCUUAGAAUGAAAGAGUUCGCCAUAAAUCAUAAAUAGUUGUACUAGCUGCUCUGAAUACUGUAAAAUGUGCACUUUUGUGUGCAUGUGAAAUCAACCCUUUUGUUUCUGCCUUCA
Molecule: non-coding RNA, 1262 nt
Organism: Lolium perenne
Lineage: Eukaryota; Viridiplantae; Streptophyta; Magnoliopsida; Poales; Poaceae
Source: RefSeq, a predicted model, not a curated record